UACAGAGGGGGCAAGCGUUAUUCGGAAUUAUUGGGCGUAAAGGGCGCGUAGGCGGCCUUUCAAGUGACGGGUGAAAUCCCCCGGCUUAACCGGGGAACUGCCUGUCAGACUGGGAGGCUUGAGACCGGGAGAGGUGAGUGGAAUUCCCAGUGUAGCGGUGAAAUGCGUAGAUAUCUGGAGGAACACCGGUGGCGAAGGCGGCAUCCUGGACCGAUACUGACGCUGAGGAGCGAAAGCCAGGGGAGCAAACGGG
Molecule: ribosomal RNA, 253 nt
Filed under: uncultured bacterium
Lineage: Bacteria
Description: partial 16S ribosomal RNA
Rfam family: Bacterial small subunit ribosomal RNA
Source: RNAcentral